AGUGAACGCUGGCGGUAGGCCUAACACAUGCAAGUCGAACGGCAGCACAGUAAGAGCUUGCUCUUACGGGUGGCGAGUGGCGGACGGGUGAGGAAUACAUCGGAAUCUACUUUUUCGUGGGGGAUAACGUAGGGAAACUUACGCUAAUACCGCAUACGACCUACGGGUGAAAGCAGGGGAUCUUCGGACCUUGCGCGAUUGAAUGAGCCGAUGUCGGAUUAGCUAGUUGGCGGGGUAAAGGCCCACCAAGGCGACGAUCCGUAGCUGGUCUGGGAGGAUGAUCAGCCACACUGGAACUGAGACACGGUCCAGACUCCGACGGGAGGCAGCAGUGGGGAAGAUUGGACAAUGGGCGCAAGCCUGAUCCAGCCAUACCGCGUGGGUGAAGAAGGCCUUCGGGUUGUAAAGCCCUUUUGUUGGGAAAGAAAAGCAGCAGGUUAAUACCCCGCUGUUCGGACGGUACCCAAAGAAUAAGCACCGGCUAACUUCGU
RNAcentral lists this ribosomal RNA (491 nucleotides) under uncultured bacterium. RNAcentral's name for it is "partial 16S ribosomal RNA". It matches the Rfam family "Bacterial small subunit ribosomal RNA", at positions 29 to 506 of the family's 1533-position model. The record is from RNAcentral.